GGCCGCUGUAUUGUGUUUUCAAAACUUGUAAAGUAAAAAGUGGAAAACUUUAUUUCGAACCAUAUAGUUUUACAUUUCAGUUUACCAAAUUCCUCAGCCAUUUCCCGAUGAAAUUAAUGCUAAACAGAAACUAUUUUUAAUUCUAAGUCUGGCGAAAGAGUCAUUGUGUGAUUGUGUUUAUAUGCCAAGUAGAAAUCGAGGAAAC
This is a non-coding RNA of Paramuricea clavata, 205 nucleotides long. Lineage: Eukaryota; Metazoa; Cnidaria; Anthozoa; Malacalcyonacea; Plexauridae. The record is from the annotation of a GenBank genome assembly.